AUGCUGCAGUGGCACCUCCGGAUGGGGCUCAAGGGGCAGCCAGCGAUCAUCUAUGGGGAGCUCUACAAUGAAGUGAAGGUGGAGGAAAGCUCGUGGCUCAUUGAGGACGGCAAGGUGGUGACUCUGCAUCUGGAGAAGAUCAAUAAGACGGAGUGGUGGAGCCGCUUGGUGUCCAGUGACCUUGAGAUCAAUACCAAGAAUAUUAACCCUGAGAAUUCCAAGCUGUCAGACCUGGACAGUGAGACUCGCAGCAUGGUGGAAAGGAUGAUGUAUGACCAGAGACAGAAGUCCAUGGGGCUGCAAACCUCAGACGAACAGAAGAAACAGGAGAUUCUGAAGCAGUUCAUUGGUCAGCAUCCAGAGAUGUAUUUUUGCAAGUCAGAGACCUCAGGGCCCCAGAUCAAGGAGCUAACUGACAAGACACAGAGAGGCUGCAGCUAGAGAUUGACCAGAAAAAGGAUGCAGAGAAUCAUGAGGCCCAGCUCAAGAAUGGCAGCCUUGACUCCCCCAGGAAAGCAGGAGACUGAGGAAGAUGAGGAGGAGGAAGAGAGAAGGAGAAAGGAAAACUGAAGCCCAACCUAGGCAACGGGGCAGACCUGCCCAAUUACCGCUGGACCCAGACGCUGUCGGAGCUGGACCUGGCAGUCCCUUUCCGUGUGAACUUCCGGCUGAAAGGGAAGGACGUGGUGGUAGACAUGCUGCAGUGGCACCUCCGGAUGGGGCUCAAGGGGCAGCCAGCGAUCAUCUAUGGGGAGCUCUACAAUGAAGUGAAGGUGGAGGAAAGCUCGUGGCUCAUUGAGGACGGCAAGGUGGUGACUCUGCAUCUGGAGAAGAUCAAUAAGACGGAGUGGUGGAGCCGCUUGGUGUCCAGUGACCUUGAGAUCAAUACCAAGAAUAUUAACCCUGAGAAUUCCAAGCUGUCAGACCUGGACAGUGAGACUCGCAGCAUGGUGGAAAGGAUGAUGUAUGACCAGAGACAGAAGUCCAUGGGGCUGCAAACCUCAGACGAACAGAAGAAACAGGAGAUUCUGAAGCAGUUCAUUGGUCAGCAUCCAGAGAUGUAUUUUUGCAAGGCUAAAUUCAACUAGCCCCUGUUUUUUCCUCCCUGAACUCUUGGAGCUGAGCUGCAACCACCCAGCUUUCUUUCCCACUCUUCUCUGGGACUUGUGGGCCUCAGGGCUUGGGGCAGGCAUGAGACUGGCCCAGGCACACAGGUCCCAGGGCAUCAGGGGAAAGGCUGGAGCUUGGGGUCUUGUCCUCCCCAGUUGGUCUACUGUUACACGUUAAAACGAUUUGCCCAGCU
Molecule: RNA transcript, 1303 nt
Organism: Mandrillus leucophaeus (drill)
Lineage: Eukaryota; Metazoa; Chordata; Mammalia; Primates; Cercopithecidae
Gene name: nuclear migration protein nudC pseudogene
Exons: 2
Source: RefSeq, a predicted model, not a curated record